CUUGUUACCUAUAAGAGGUCCAGCCUGCCCAGUGAGAUAUUCAACGGCCGCGGUAUCCUAACCGUGCGAAGGUAGCGUAAUCACUUGUUCUCUAAAUCAGGACUAGUAUGAACGGCACCACGAGGGUUUUACUGUCUCCUUUUUCCAAUUAGUGAACUUAAUCUUCCCGUGAAGAAGCUGGGAUGAACCUAUAAGACGAGAAGACCCUUUGGAGCUUUAAACAAUUUAGCACCUGCACCACUGCCUUCAUAUUUCUGAAUUUAUAUUUCCCGCAGGCUGACUAAAAGUUUUAGGUUGGGGUGACCGCGGAGUAAAAUUCAUCCUCCACACUGUAAGAAUCUACUGAAUCUUAACCAAGAGGCACACCUCUAAGUAUCAACAUACUGACAUCCAUUGACCCAAUAUAUUUGAUCAACGAAC
Molecule: ribosomal RNA, 420 nt
Filed under: Amazophrynella javierbustamantei
Lineage: Eukaryota; Metazoa; Chordata; Amphibia; Anura; Bufonidae
Description: partial large subunit ribosomal RNA
Rfam family: Archaeal large subunit ribosomal RNA
Source: RNAcentral